Long non-coding RNA from Myxocyprinus asiaticus (Chinese sucker), 3025 nucleotides. RefSeq lists it as uncharacterized. The record is from RefSeq and is a predicted model, not a curated record. The transcript has 3 exons. Lineage: Eukaryota; Metazoa; Chordata; Actinopteri; Cypriniformes; Catostomidae.
UGGUACGAAUAAAGCGCUGAGGAAAAGACUGUGCUGUGUCCUGUGUGUGCUUGGAACACUCUCACUCGUGUGAAUUCCAGGUGGAGAUUUUCCAUGACAAUUUGGUGACGUGGAUGGGAUGCUAACUCAGGUUCGCCCUGAUCUAUAAUGACAGGUAAAGCUGCACAGCCAGGGACUGGGUCACACCCCGAUGUAGUCGAAGGGGUUUGUGGAGAUGGACACCUGUAAUGUGUAGUUAAUGGGGUUCCUGAUAUGGCAUCCAGAGGACAAAAUAAUUCUGACAUGGGUGAGGACACAGUCCAGCAAUAGGGAAAACUCACGUGAGUUGACGAGCUACUAAUGAUGGUCCGGGACACAUUGGUCGAGUGACUGUCUGGGACAGUAUAAGGAUGGUCGGCUGGCACGACAACGGACUCAGUGCUGAAAGAUAAAGCGGUGUCAGGGUUAGAGUCCCUGAGAAACCUGAACCUCCCCUAUAAAAGAGGGUGAGAAGUGGGAACCUGAAGCCUGAGGACGGGGUCGCCUCAACAAAGGUGACCUUUCAGCAGAUGAUGGAGAACCACAUGACUGUGUUGCUUCAAUAACAGUGAUAUGAUCUCCCAGGCCAUACCUCAAGGACACACCACUCUCCAAUGCUGAGUUGUAACUGUUUGUUGAUGGUCCUGCUUCAAGUGACCCUGUCAUGGGAAAGACUAGGGCUGGGUUCGCUGUUGUAACUGCAUUUGAUACUAUCAUUGCACAACCCUUACCCUGACACACAUCCUCACGAGCAGUGAAAUUGAUAGCUAUAAUUGAAGCCUGCAAACACACGGCUGGUAGGUCCGUUAACAUUUACACUGACAGUAGAUAUGCAUUUGGGGUGGUGCAUGAUUUUGGGGCCAUUUGGAAGCAAAGAGACUUCCUUACAUCUACAGGCAAACCCAUCUCUAAUGGACCCCUGGUGGUGGCCCUGUUAGAGGCUGUCAUGUUAUCGUCCUUUGUCGCAGUGUGUAUAUGUGAGGCUCACAUUAACUCCCUUGACCACAUUUCUGUGGGAAAUGCACGAGCAGAUGCUGUACCAAAGAAAGCUGCUCAACAGGAAUUUCAAAACCACAGUUUUGUUUCUGUUCCUCAAACAGACACACACACACACCAAAUGCAGAUUCCAUUUAUUUACAGAGCAGAGUCACAGCGGAGGAGAAAGCUGCCUGGAAGAACGCUGCCUGUUCAAAGGAAGACGAUAUUUGGGUUGGUCAAUGGGAAACCAUGCCUGCCACAUUAUUUAUUUCUGCAUUAUGCCAAAUUGGCACACGGUGUAGACCAUGUGUCAAAAGGAGGGAUGUUGAGUGAAAUAAAUAGGUACUGGUUCACAAAGGGGUUUUCCAUUUAUGCCCAAAAAUAUUGUCAAAAAUGUGUAAUAUGUGCCAAAUUUGACAUAGGAAGAGGGCCUGUGAGGGCAUAUCUGCCACCUGAAAAGCCAUUUGACCAGCCACUUGACCACCAAUUGAACUGAGUCUGCAAGAAGUUAAAAAGUAUUGCCUGGUGAUUAAUUAACAGUGACAAUGGCACCCACUUUGUGAAUCAAGCCCUACAUCACACCGGUCAGUAUUUGGGAAUUAAUAUGACAACACACUGCACCUACCCCCCUAAGAGUGGGGGAGCAGUGGAUAGAGAAAAUGGCACACUAAAAAAUAAACUGGUCAAAUGUUCGUUUGAAACUGGACUAAACUGGGUUCAAGCGUUACCAUUGGUGUUAAUGCAAAUGCCGGCAAGGCUCAGGAAACUAAACGGUUUGAGCCCAUUUGAAAUUUUGUUUGGCAGGACCCUUAACAUGGGAACUGGACCACAAAAAAGCAGUUGCUUGAUACUGACCAGUGUGAGGAUGAAAUGUUGUGUUAUUGUGCAAACCUCUCUGCUGUGCUUUGUGAUAUUCAUAGACAGGUGAAAACAGCGCUCCCCAGGGAGGCAAAAGUGAAAUUGCAUGAUCUGGAGCUGGGAGACUGGGUUGUGGUGAAGGACUUCAAAAGGAGAAAUACAGACAGAUGGGCUGGUUUGAGUGUUUCUGUAACUGCUGAUCUCCUGGGAUUUUCAUGCAUAACAGUCUCUAGAAUUUACUCCAAAUGGUGCCAGAAACAAAAAACAUCCAGUGAGCAGAUGUUCUGCAGAUGGAAAUACCUUGUUGAUGAGAGAGGUCAACAGAGAGUGGCCAGACUGGUUUGAACUGAGAAAGUAUACAGUAACUCAGAUAACCGUUCUAUACAAUUGUGUUGAGAAGGAUAGCAUCUCACAAAACACACCUUGAUGAUUCUCAUAGCUUUUGGGAGAAUGUUCUGUGGACUGAUGAGUUGAAAGUGCAACUGUUUGGAAGAUAGGGGUCCCAUUACAUCUGGUGUAAAUCAAACACAGAAUUCCACAAAAAGAACAUCAUACCUACGGUCAAGCAUGUUGGUGGUAGUGUGAUGGUGUGGGGAUGAUUUGCUGCUUCAGGACCAGGGUGACUUGCAAUAACUGAGGGAAACAUGAAUUCUGCUCUCUACCAGAAAAUCCUAAAAGGAGAACGUCUGGUCAUCAGUCCGUGAGUUGAAGCUCAAGCACAACUGGAUUAUGCAGCAAGACAAUGAUCCAAAGCAUAGGAGUAUGUCCACCUCUGAAUGGCUCAAAAGAAGCAAAAUUAAAGUUUUGGAGUGGCCUAGUCAAAGUGCUGACUUGAACCCGAUUGAGAUGCUGGGCAGGACCUUAAACGGUCAGUUCAUGCUCAAACCCUCCAAUGUGGCUGAACUAAAGCAGUUCUGCAAAGAAGAGUGGGCCAAAACUCCACCACAGCACUGUGAAAGAAUGCUCUCCAGUUAUCGGAAACGUUUGGUUGCAGUUGUUGCUGUUAAAGGUGGCACAACCAGCUAUUUAAAGGGCAGUUCGUUUUUCACAUAGGUGAUAUAGGUGUUGGAUAACGUCCUGGUUACUUGCGUAAACUCCGUUCCCUGAUGGAGGGAACGAGACAUUGUGUCGAUGUAGUGACACUAGGGGUCACUCUUGGGAGCCCAAAACA